AGGGAAAGAUGAAAAGCACUUUGGAAAAAGAGUUAAACAGUACGUGAAAUUGCUGAAAGGGAAAGCUUGAAGUCAGUCGGUCUGCCGGAACUCAGCCUUCCUUUUGGUUGGUGCACUUUCCGGUAGACGGGCCAGAUCGUUUUUGACCGUCGGAUAAGGGCUGGGGAAAUGUGGACUUCGGGUGUGUUAUAGUCCUCAGUCGCAUACGGCGGUUGGGAUCGAG
RNAcentral lists this ribosomal RNA (223 nucleotides) under Lentinus tigrinus. Its description in RNAcentral is "partial large subunit ribosomal RNA". It matches the Rfam family "Eukaryotic large subunit ribosomal RNA", at positions 356 to 588 of the family's 3401-position model. The record is from RNAcentral. Lineage: Eukaryota; Fungi; Basidiomycota; Agaricomycetes; Polyporales; Polyporaceae.